UCCGUAGGUGAACCUGCGGAGGGAUCAUUACUGAGUGAGGGCCCUCCGGCCCGACCUCCAACCCUUUGUAACCCGACUCUGUUGCCUCGGGGGCGACCCUGCCUUCGGGCGGGGGCCCCCGGUGGUCCACUUAACACUGCAUCUUUGCGUCCGAGUCUGAUAUUUAAAUAAAUCAAAACUUUCAACAACGGAUCUCUUGGUUCUGGCAUCGAUGAAGAACGCAGCGAAAUGCGAUAAGUAAUGUGAAUUGCAGAAUUCAGUGAAUCAUCGAAUCUUUGAACGCACAUUGCGCCCCCUGGUAUUCCGGGGGGCAUGCCUGUUCGAGCGUCAUUACACCACUCAAGCCUGGCUUGGUAUUGGGCGCCGCGCCCGUUCGCGCGCCUCAAUGUUCUCCGGCUGAGCCGUCCGUCUCCAAGCGUUGUGGCACUUUAUGUUUCCGCUUCGGGGCACGGGGGGUUCGCGCCGUUAAACCAUUUUCACAAGGUUGACCUCGGAUCAGGUAGGGAUACCCGCUGAACUUAAGCAUAUCAAUAAGCGGAGGAA
Molecule: ribosomal RNA, 543 nt
Filed under: uncultured fungus
Lineage: Eukaryota; Fungi
Description: eukaryotic LSU rRNA
Rfam family: 5.8S ribosomal RNA (bases 177-330)
Source: RNAcentral